GAUGAACGCCGGCGGUGUGCCUAAUACAUGCAAGUCGAACGCGUUGGCCUAAUUGAUUGAUGGUGCUUGCACCUGAUUGAUUUUGGUCGCCAACGAGUGGCGGACGGGUGAGUAACACGUAGGUAACCUGCCCAGAAGCGGGGGACAACAUUUGGAAACAGAUGCUAAUACCGCAUAACAGCGUUGUUCGCAUGAACAACGCUUAAAAGAUGGCUUCUCGCUAUCACUUCGGGAUGGACCUGCGGUGCAUUAGCUUGUUGGUGGGGUAACGGCCUACCAAGGCGAGGAUGGAUAGCCGAGUUGAGAGACUGAUCGGCCACAAUGGGACUGAGACACGGACCAUAGUCCUACGGGAGGCAGCAGUAGGGAAUCUUCCACAAUGGGCGCAAGCCUGAUGGAGCAACACCGCGUGAGUGAAGAAGGGUUUCGGCUCGUAAAGCUCUGUUGUUAAAGAAGAACACGUAUGAGAGUAACUGUUCAUACGUUGACGGUAUUUAACCAGAAAGUCACGGCUAACUACGUG
This 523-nucleotide ribosomal RNA is filed under the name uncultured bacterium. RNAcentral's name for it is "partial 16S ribosomal RNA". It matches the Rfam family "Bacterial small subunit ribosomal RNA", at positions 28 to 507 of the family's 1533-position model. The record is from RNAcentral.